Molecule: ribosomal RNA, 253 nt
Filed under: uncultured bacterium
Lineage: Bacteria
Description: partial 16S ribosomal RNA
Rfam family: Bacterial small subunit ribosomal RNA
Source: RNAcentral
UACGUAGGUGGCAAGCGUUGUCCGGAUUUAUUGGGUUUAAAGGGUGCGUAGGCGGCUUUGUAAGUCAGUGGUGAAAUAUGGCAGCUCAACUGUCAGGGUGCCAUUGAUACUGCGGAGCUUGAGUACAGAUGAGGUAGGCGGAAUUGACGGUGUAGCGGUGAAAUGCUUAGAUAUCGUCAAGAACACCUAUAGCGAAGGCAGCUUACUAGGCUGUAACUGACGCUGAGGCACGAAAGCGUGGGGAUCAAACAGG